RNAcentral lists this ribosomal RNA (753 nucleotides) under uncultured organism. RNAcentral's name for it is "SSU rRNA". It matches the Rfam family "Eukaryotic small subunit ribosomal RNA", at positions 384 to 1139 of the family's 1831-position model. The record is from RNAcentral.
CGGAGAGGGAGCAUGAGACACGGCUACCACAUCCAAGGAAGGCAGCAGGCGCGCAAAUUACCCAAUCCCGACACGGGGAGGUAGUGACAAUAAAUACUGAUACAGGGCUCUUUUGGGUCUCGUAAUUGGAAUGAGUACAAUUUAAAUCCCUUAACGAGGAACAAUUGGAGGGCAAGUCUGGUGCCAGCAGCCGCGGUAAUUCCGGCUCCAAUAGCGUAUAUUAAAGUUGUUGCAGUUAAAAAGCUCGUAGUUGAACCUUGGGCCUGGCUGGCCGGUCCGCCUCACCGCGUGCACUGGUCCGGCCGGGCCUUUCCUUCUGGGGAGCCGCAUGCCCUUCACUGGGUGUGUCGGGGAACCAGGACUUUUACUUUGAAAAAAUUAGAGUGUUCAAAGCAGGCCUAUGCUCGAAUACAUUAGCAUGGAAUAAUAGAAUAGGACGUGUGGUUCUAUUUUGUUGGUUUCUAGGACCGCCGUAAUGAUUAAUAGGGAUAGUCGGGGGCAUCAGUAUUCAAUUGUCAGAGGUGAAAUUCUUGGAUUUAUUGAAGACUAACUACUGCGAAAGCAUUUGCCAAGGAUGUUUUCAUUAAUCAGUGAACGAAAGUUAGGGGAUCGAAGACGAUCAGAUACCGUCGUAGUCUUAACCAUAGACUAUGCCGACUAGGGAUCGGGCGAUGUUAUCUUUUUGACUCGCUCGGCACCUUACGAGAAAUCAAAGUUUUUGGGUUUCGGGGGGGAGAAUGGUCGCAAGGGUUG